This 74-nucleotide transfer RNA is filed under the name Notoscopelus elongatus kroyeri. RNAcentral describes it as "tRNA-Leu (UUR)". It matches the Rfam family "tRNA". From Rfam's summary of the family: Transfer RNA (tRNA) molecules are approximately 80 nucleotides in length. Their secondary structure includes four short double-helical elements and three loops (D, anti-codon, and T loops). The record is from RNAcentral. Lineage: Eukaryota; Metazoa; Chordata; Actinopteri; Myctophiformes; Myctophidae.
GUUAAAGUGGCAGAGCCUGGCUAUUGCAAAAGACCUAAGCUCUUUCUACAGGGGUUCAAAUCCUCUCUUCAACU